This 494-nucleotide long non-coding RNA is filed under the name Gallus gallus (chicken). Its description in RNAcentral is "lncRNA (ENSGALG00010003413.1)". The record is from RNAcentral. Lineage: Eukaryota; Metazoa; Chordata; Aves; Galliformes; Phasianidae.
AGAAGCUCCUCACUGGCCACGCAGACCUUCUGAAACUCCCAGGCUUCCUGCAUGACAAGAAGGUUUGUUACUGAGCUCUCAGUAAGAUUCCUUUGGAGGCCCACCCAUUCCCUUCAUGGUAGCUCCACUGAGGAUCCAGACUAGCAAUAUCUGAGGAAGGUCCACCCUGUUUGCUUCCCAAGGGCCCAGGGUCUCAACUCUACUGCUCACCUUCCAGCCUUCCAUUCAUCCCCAACCUCCAGGAUAUCUUCUUAAUCACAUCAGCUUCAGCAAAGAGCACUCUUCUAUGCAGCUUGAACAGAGGAAGUGACACGAUCCAUGCAUUGCUGAGUUUGUAGCAAGGAAGAAAAGUGAUCCUUAGUUGUGUGAGAGCAGUCCUUCACCUGCAGAAUUAAGUCGUGUUCUGACUUUCUCAGAGGGCGUCGACUUAUCCAACAAAGAGGAGUAAUUGUCUUCAAGAGAAUUUGUAUUAUCUGCAAUAAGACUUUGGUGCG